GUCCACGCCGUAAACGUUGGGCACUAGGUGUGGGGCUCGAUCGACGGGCUCCGUGCCGUAGCUAACGCAUUAAGUGCCCCGCCUGGGAAGUACGGCCGCAAGGCUAAAACUCAAAGGAAUUGACGGGGGCCCGCACAAGCGGCGGAGCAUGUUGCUUAAUUCGAUGCAACGCGAAGAACCUUACCAAGGCUUGACAUGUACGGAAAAGCCGUAGAGAUACGGUGUCCUCGGGUCGGUACACAGGUGGUGCAUGGCUGUCGU
Molecule: ribosomal RNA, 261 nt
Filed under: uncultured bacterium
Lineage: Bacteria
Description: partial 16S ribosomal RNA
Rfam family: Bacterial small subunit ribosomal RNA
Source: RNAcentral